CUUGCUUCGAAUGAAAGUUAGUGGCGGACGGGUGAGUAACGCGUGAGCAACCUGCCUUUCAGAGGGGGAUAACGGCUGGAAACGGUCGCUAAUACCGCAUGACGUGUUCGGAUGGCAUCAUCUGAACAUCAAAGAUUUAUCGCUGAAAGAUGGGCUUGCGUCUGAUUAGAUAGUUGGCGGGGUAACGGCCCACCAAGUCGACGAUCAGUAGCCGGACUGAGAGGUUGAACGGCCACAUUGGGACUGAGACACGGCCCAGACUCC
RNAcentral lists this ribosomal RNA (264 nucleotides) under uncultured bacterium. Its description in RNAcentral is "partial 16S ribosomal RNA". It matches the Rfam family "Bacterial small subunit ribosomal RNA", at positions 74 to 339 of the family's 1533-position model. The record is from RNAcentral. RNAcentral also lists the same sequence under 1 other name.